GCAAGUCGUGCGAGAAUUUUAUGAUUUAACCUUCGGGUGAUUGAUUACACGUAAAGCGGCGGACGGGUGAGUAACGCGUGGGUAACCUGCCCCAUACAAAGGGAUAGCCACUGGAAACGGUGAUUAAUACCAUAUAACAUCAUAGUGUCGCAUGACACAUUGGUCAAAGAUUUAUCGGUAUGGGAUGGACCCGCGUCUGAUUAGCUAGUUAGUAAGGUAAUGGCUUACCAAGGCGACGAUCAGUAGCCGACCUGAGAGGGUGAUC
Molecule: ribosomal RNA, 265 nt
Filed under: uncultured bacterium
Lineage: Bacteria
Description: partial 16S ribosomal RNA
Rfam family: Bacterial small subunit ribosomal RNA
Source: RNAcentral